ACGUACGUACUUAGACACUACUCUUGCUCAAAUGCAGAUAUAUAUUCAAUUCCGAGCUGGAGAUUUCGCAUCUUAGCUUCAACAAACUUCAUCCUAUUGAUUUGUUUUUUCUUUUAAUGUUCCUUCGUUUAUAUAUGAUCUUUUUUACGCCAUUAUGAUUUUAUGUUCUAUACAAUGUGAUAUUUAUGUUUUGCAAAGUGAAAAAAAGCAAUAGUUUUGUUUUAGCAAAUUUAAAAUUCAAGGAGUUUAAGGGUUUUUAUUCUUUUUCUCUUGCGUAAUUUGGAACUAAAGAUUUUAAUUUUAUUUUUUUUCACUCUUAUCCAAAUUUUUUAGUUUAAUCGUCCUUUAUUUAUUUUACUCUGAAUUUGAGUACGCAAUGUACAGAUAACUAUCUUUAAUUUUUUUUGUUUCUUUUCUGUCCUUACUACACCCGUACGUGUGUGAAUUAAUAAUUUUGCAUGUAGUUUACAUUGCAAGACCAAGUGAUCAGAGCUAGUCUUAUACCAAGAGGUAGACUGUGAAGACUUGCAAAAGAUAGCCUUUUGACUUCUUUGUUCACUGUUACACGAUGAAUGACGCUCUUGUAUAUGCCGUUGCUCAUCACCUCUACCUGAUCUCCCAGCUGAACUAUCAAAGCUCCUUCUAUAUACGGCACACAAACCCAGUUUUUGUUGCAGUCCAUUAUCUGGAGUCCCUUGCUACUCUGAAGUAAGAUGGUCAGUGAGCUGAAGUCUGAGUGUGGUGGCAUUCCCAAGGCCAUUUCAGGUUCCGGGCAUGCUGGAUAACAAUUCACUGCCAUGACUUGUGAGCCUUCUUCUAUCUCUUCUUCAUGGAGGAUUUGAUGGCCACAUAUCGAUCCACUUUGAGAGUGGAUGAGAGUAAUGCUUGAUGAAAUCUCUCCAGUAGUGAACUCUGUCUGUUGAAUGGUUAAGGCUUGUGCCAUACCUGACUGGCUCAUGAACGUUUGCAGACACCAGAAGCAUCUUCUCUUCCACAGGUAAGUCGAAGAACUGUGUUGCUGCAUCUAAGGCAUCGUUAACCACUGAUGAUGGUAUUCCAUGGUUUAUAACCUGUAGGGAAGUAAAAGUUAGGGCCUUUAUCUCUUAGUUCUGUACAGUCGUACAGAGUAGAGAAAACAUUGCAUGCAUGCAUUUUGUGUUCUCAUUUAAGACUGAGAUUGAGGAUUUUGUCUUUUCUUUCGUUGUUUGCCCUGAUCAGGGACUUUAUUCCUUAUGAAAUAAAUGCAAGAAGACAAUAGCCGUCUUUCUAAGAGAUCCCCGAAGUAUGAUUGGUAGAUGUGAUAAAUUCACUCCAGAGUUAGUUCUAGUGACUAAGCAUGGAAACGCUUGGACUGAAUUUGCAUGAAAUAAACACAAAACUUGCUGGAUUUGUGAUAAAGCAUGACUUAUUUUACCUGAAAGAAACCAAACUCCUUGCAGGCCAUGCUAAUCUCGUGGAUUGCGAGGGAUCGAAGGAAAGGUUGGUGCAAAAGAGAGAGAUCAAUGACAGGAAGUGUAGUCUCGCUGGUGCCUAAGCUUGAACCAAGAGCUGGCCUUUGCGAAGGAGGAAGAACGUAGCGAUCAGGGACUUGAGGCACACCUGAAUUGGUAAGUGUCAUUGCACUUGUAAAAGAAUCAUCAAGCAAACUCAUUUUUGUUUCCUCCAUAUUUUUUUGUUUGCUCUUUAUGUAUUUAGUACUACUAUACUAAAGAGUAUGGCAACAUGCAUAGCGUAUAUAUAUACUUGUUAAAAUUUCUUCUAGAAAGAUAAAUAUCCCAAUUUUGUAAAGUCAACAUUUUUAUAUUUUUCCUAGUUUGCUUACGGUAUUGGAAACCACCUGCAGCAUCUUUACAAUAAAUGAA
RNAcentral lists this long non-coding RNA (1862 nucleotides) under Arabidopsis thaliana (thale cress). RNAcentral's name for it is "potential natural antisense gene, locus overlaps with AT2G44800 (AT2G44798)". The record is from RNAcentral. Lineage: Eukaryota; Viridiplantae; Streptophyta; Magnoliopsida; Brassicales; Brassicaceae.